This 405-nucleotide long non-coding RNA is filed under the name Salmo salar (Atlantic salmon). RNAcentral describes it as "lncRNA (ENSSSAG00000105569.1)". Lineage: Eukaryota; Metazoa; Chordata; Actinopteri; Salmoniformes; Salmonidae. The record is from RNAcentral.
CCUUCAGACGCGAUAACAAGAACAAGCUCUUGGAACAUAAAGGAGUCAUUUUUUCGAACAAAAAUACAUUUGUUGUGGACCUGGGAUUCCUGGAAGUGCUUUCUGAUGAAGACAACCAAAGAACAACUUGUCAGGUGGUGCAUUGGAGACUGAUGUGUUCCUGUCCUGUCUUUUCACAAUACUAUUGCAGGUAUGGUUCUAUUGUCUAAGAAUUAAGAUUAUACAUUCUUUGUAUUAAGGACUGGUUAUUAUUUUAUACUAUACAUUAUGGCUUUAUGUAUGAGUGUGAUUGUGAGAGUCUGAGAAAACACUGAGAGAGAAAGAACAACUUGUCAGGUGGUGCAUUGGAGACUGAUGUGUUCCUGUCCUGUCUUUUCACAAUACUAUUGCAGAUCAACAUAAAAG